This is a long non-coding RNA of Culex quinquefasciatus (southern house mosquito), 873 nucleotides long. RefSeq lists it as uncharacterized. The record is from RefSeq and is a predicted model, not a curated record. The transcript has 3 exons. Lineage: Eukaryota; Metazoa; Arthropoda; Insecta; Diptera; Culicidae.
UGCAAGGAAAUAUCCAAUGAUAAAAGCCACAAAAGUUUAUCUUGCCUACGAAGCAUGCUUAAAAACCGAAAUAACUAAUCUGAAUGAAUCUUGGGUACCACAUUACGUAUGUGCUGUUUGUUACACCGAAUUGAUUGCGUGUCACAAAAAUUCACAACAAUUCAAGUAUAUUUCGCCAAGGAUAUGGCGUAAACCAGUCGACGUAAGUGAAUGCUAUUUUUGCCUUUCACAAAUUCGACCUGGUAUUUCAAAAAAUGAGUACCCUGUUGCCAGUUCGUCGGAACCACCAAUCGAGUUCAAUUCCAUGCAAAAAAAAGCCGAUUGUCCUGCUGAUAACCUUGAAGUACCCAGUUUUGCAUCUUUAAUUACCGCUAGUUCCAUCAGUGUGCCGCACUCCGAAUACCAACCGGAAGAAGAACCCGAUGAUACGCCCCAUUUCCCGAACCAAAAGGAAAUUGACGAUCUUAUAAAAGAUUUGGGUCUCGGCAAAUCGAAAGCAGAGCUUUUAACAUCACGACUAAAAGAAUGGAAAAUAGUUGACAAAUCAGUAAAGAUAACGGCCCAACGGAAACGAGACGAGGCUUAUUCGCGCUUUUAUACGUAUGAUGAAGCUGUUUGCUACUGCAAAGACAUACCUGGUUUGUUUACAGCCAUCGGUAUCUCAUUGAACGUUGGUGAAUGGCGGCUAUUUAUUGACGGUUCGUCAACAUCGAUAAAAGUUGUUCUCCUUCAUAACAGAACGGGAAAAGAAAGGCUUCCGUCGCUUCCAAUAGCUUAUUCGAAGCUUUUAAAAGAAAGCUUCGAAUGUACGAAGUUAAUUUUGGAGCUGAUUAAGUAUGAAAACUACAAAUGGGAAGUUAUAGGCGACUUCAA